CACAGACUGGAUGGAAGUCUUCAACCAUGGAAAUAGAUUUUCUCCCAGUUCUGGAGGCUGGAAGUCCCAGAUCAGGAGUGCUAGCAGUACACUUUAUGGGAGAAGUUACUUGCCAGCAUACAGUGGUUUCUGGCUUCUUUUCACACUGGCUUCUGAACACUAUUACAGCCUAAAGACUGACAAGUUUUCCAGUACUGAGAUUCUUUUCUAAAAUGAGUUCUACAGAUCUUUUUUAUGCAUGGCUGAAUAAAAGGAAAUGGAAAUAGGAGAUCACCAUUCUUCAUUCUCUUGCUCAAUUUCAGGUAAUAAAUUUCGCUCUGGACAUAUGGUUUCCAGCUACAGAAAACUCUCCACACUUCUCUGUGGCCAGGUGGGGCCACUUGACUUCAU
Long non-coding RNA from Lutra lutra (Eurasian river otter), 390 nucleotides. RefSeq lists it as uncharacterized. The transcript has 3 exons. The record is from RefSeq and is a predicted model, not a curated record. NCBI's taxonomy places the organism in Eukaryota, Metazoa, Chordata, Mammalia, Carnivora, Mustelidae.